RNAcentral lists this long non-coding RNA (729 nucleotides) under Homo sapiens (human). Its description in RNAcentral is "lncAB244.1". Lineage: Eukaryota; Metazoa; Chordata; Mammalia; Primates; Hominidae. The record is from RNAcentral.
UCCCGUCUCCUCCCAGUCCCCCGGAGCCGACCAGUGGUGGCGGCAGCCCCAGGUCCCGGGUCCCUCAGACAAAAAGGCGGGUGGAGGAGGAGUAGCCGAGCCCAGAGUCCUGCUCCGGCGCCGCCGAGCACCGCCCGCCUCAGCCGACCAGCCCCGUCGGCUACUGGGCCUAGCCUAGAGGAGAGGAGGGAAAGGCCGCGGAGGCCGCGAGGAGACGGCUGGGGCGCCAGCGGCCGGCUGCCGCCUAGUUGUGCUGCCCGGACCAAGGAAGGAGAAGUGGGAGGAGCGGGGAGCUCAGCGGCUCAGGACGACGACGCUCGCCACAUCCGGGACCCUCCGGCCGUGGCGGUCGCAGCGCCGGCAGCUCGGGCCUCAGCCCCUGCCUCUGUGGUGACUCCGCCGCGCUUCGACGUCGCCCCUGUCCCCGUCCCGCCCGCCGCCCCCGCCAACCCCGCCGCCGGGGACAUGUCCAACCCCUGAAGCCGGAGGAACGGGCCAGUCAGACUGCGCCCGACAGGUGAUGGGGAGCGGCGGCCGGGCUGGGCAGCCGCCGGGUGGGCGAGCUGGCGCGGGGUACCUGUUGACUUGGGAAGGGCCAGGAUCGCGAUCAAUGGAGGUGAAGUGAAAUCUGCAAGAGUCCUGCUCGCUCAAGGCCUGCAUACAGGAAAGAAGCAGGGGAAAAGCGUUACAAACAGCUUUUGUUCUACAGCAUUUUAAAAUAUAACAGGU